Molecule: ribosomal RNA, 404 nt
Filed under: uncultured bacterium
Lineage: Bacteria
Description: partial 16S ribosomal RNA
Rfam family: Bacterial small subunit ribosomal RNA
Source: RNAcentral
AUCGAACGCUGGCGGCAGGCCUAACACAUGCAAGUCGAGCGAGGGGCGGACGGGUGAGUAAUGGCUGGGAAUUGCCCAGUCGAGGGGGAUAACAGUUGGAAACGACUGCUAAUACCGAAUACGCCUGGAUUGGCCAGGUGGGAUUAGCUAGUUGGUGAGGUAAUGGCUUACCAAGGCGACGAUGCCUAGCUGGUCUGAGAGGAUGAGCAGCCACACUGGGACUGAGACACGGUCCAGACUCCUACGGGAGGCAGCAGUGGGGAAUAUUGGACAAUGGAGGAAACCCUGAUGCAGCCAUGCCGCGUGAGUGAAGAAGGCCGUCGGGUUGUAAAGCUCUUUCGUCGAGGAGGCGUUACUCGCAGAAGAAGCACCGGCUAACUCCGUGCCAGCAGCCGCGGUAAUAC